CAGGAGUUAGAACUGCUGACUGUUCCUGAAGGCGAAGGUCAAUUGCCUGCUCGCUCUCCGUCACCAGAUACUAAGAAGGCUCUGGAAGCCCUCGCUGCUGUAGAAAGACUUCAAGCACAGCUACUGGAAACAGAAGAGAGAGCCCAAGCGGCCGAAGAGCGAGCUAUCCAAGCUGAAACUGACCUGAAACAAGCUCUAGAAAAAUACGAGCCCUUGAACGGUCAGCGUCCCGCGCAAGUGCGACAUCGGCAGGGGAAUCUCAGACACCUGCGGACAGACCGGUCAGCACUAGCAUGUCAAAGCGACCCACCUCUCAAGCCUCCACUGCGCAGGCGCAGACGCCUCAGCCUCCACGAACAGCUUCCCAGCAAUCGACAAGGCCCUCAACUCGGGCAUCAACAAAGAAAAAAUAAUUUGUUAUGUAAAAAGUUGCAAUGUAACAUUAUCAAGGAGUAAGUGACAGAAGAUUCAACAACACUCAACCUUUGUAAAUACACAACAGUGAAAAAACGAAGUCCCUCAGAUUUUGAAAGACUUCUAGGUUUGAAAUAGGUAUUGUAUUUAUUUUUAUAUCAGUCAAACAACUCCGCGCAUAAUUUAUUAUGACUAUGAUUUGCCUUGAUCAAGUUUAGCGACCUCUUUUUCAUCGGUAACUCUUUUCGUACGUGUAUAUAUGAAAACCCUUCCAUUGCUACCAAACAACAAAAAAGAACCAGAAGUCAUAAACAACCUAUUUUAUUGGUUUUUAAGUAAACAAACCAAUGGGCUUGGCAUUGGUAACAACCGAAAAAGCGAACUUAAAUUUGUCUUCAGCACGUUAUCACAUACAGAAGAAAAAAUUUAAAAAGUCCUCUGUGAGUUGCAAAAUCACCAUUUCUCAACAGUUUUUGACUGUUGCUGUACAUGCCUAAAAGGUAAAACCGUACUCUCACCAGCAAGUUGUUCCUGACAAGCGUCACGCGCCCUCCGCUCGC
This is a non-coding RNA of Pocillopora verrucosa, 974 nucleotides long. NCBI's taxonomy places the organism in Eukaryota, Metazoa, Cnidaria, Anthozoa, Scleractinia, Pocilloporidae. The record is from RefSeq and is a predicted model, not a curated record.